UACGUAGGGUCCGAGCGUUGUCCGGAAUUACUGGGCGUAAAGCGCACGUAGGCGGAUCGUUAAGUCGGGGGUGAAAUCCUGGAGCUCAACUCCAGAACUGCCUUCGAUACUGGCGAUCUUGAGUCCGGAAGAGGUGAGUGGAACUCCUAGUGUAGAGGUGGAAUUCGUAGAUAUUAGGAAGAACACCAGUGGCGAAGGCGGCUCACUGGUCCGGUACUGACGCUGAGGUGCGAAAGCGUGGGGAGCAAACAGG
This 253-nucleotide ribosomal RNA is filed under the name uncultured bacterium. Its description in RNAcentral is "partial 16S ribosomal RNA". It matches the Rfam family "Bacterial small subunit ribosomal RNA", at positions 524 to 776 of the family's 1533-position model. The record is from RNAcentral.